RNAcentral lists this ribosomal RNA (427 nucleotides) under uncultured bacterium. Its description in RNAcentral is "bacterial SSU rRNA". It matches the Rfam family "Bacterial small subunit ribosomal RNA", at positions 355 to 774 of the family's 1533-position model. The record is from RNAcentral.
UGGGGAAUUUUGGACAAUGGACGCAAGUCUGAUCCAGCCAUGCCGCGUGCGGGAAGAAGGCCUUCGGGUUGUAAACCGCUUUUGUCAGGGAAGAAACGAGUUUCUCUAAUACGAGAGGCCCAUGACGGUACCGUAAGAAUAAGCACCGGCUAACUACGUGCCAGCAGCCGCGGUAAUACGUAGGGUGCAAGCGUUAAUCGGAAUUACUGGGCGUAAAGCGUGCGCAGGCGGUUAUGUAAGACAGAUGUGAAAUCCCCGGGCUCAACCUGGGAACUGCAUUUGUGACUGCAUGGCUAGAGUACGGUAGAGGGGGAUGGAAUUCCGCGUGUAGCAGUGAAAUGCGUAGAUAUGCGGAGGAACACCGAUGGCGAAGGCAAUCCCCUGGACCUGUACUGACGCUCAUGCACGAAAGCGUGGGGAGCAAACA